This 253-nucleotide ribosomal RNA is filed under the name uncultured bacterium. RNAcentral's name for it is "partial 16S ribosomal RNA". It matches the Rfam family "Bacterial small subunit ribosomal RNA", at positions 524 to 776 of the family's 1533-position model. The record is from RNAcentral.
GACGUAGGGCGCGAGCGUUGUCCGGAUUUAUUGGGCGUAAAGAGCUCGUAGGCGGCUCGUUGCGUCAACCGUGAAAACCCGGGGCUUAACUUCGGGCUUGCGGUUGAUACGGGCGGGCUGGAGUUCGGUAGGGGAGACUGGAAUUCCUGGUGUAGCGGUGAAGUGCGCAGAUAUCAGGAGGAACACCGGUGGCGAAGGCGGCUCACUUGUCCGAAACUGACGCUGAGGUGCGAAAGCCAGGGGAGCAAACGGG